This 510-nucleotide ribosomal RNA is filed under the name Sutcliffiella halmapala. Its description in RNAcentral is "bacterial SSU rRNA". It matches the Rfam family "Bacterial small subunit ribosomal RNA", at positions 37 to 524 of the family's 1533-position model. The record is from RNAcentral. Lineage: Bacteria; Bacillati; Bacillota; Bacilli; Caryophanales; Bacillaceae.
CAAGGCAAUUGGCGGGUGCUAUACAUGCAAGUCGAGCGGACUUACAAAAGCUUGCUUUUGUAAGUUAGCGGCGGACGGGUGAGUAACACGUGGGCAACCUGCCCUUGAGACUGGGAUAACUUCGGGAAACCGGAGCUAAUACCGGAUAAUAUAAGGAACCUCCUGGUUCCUUAUUGAAAGAUGGUUUCGGCUAUCACUUGAGGAUGGGCCCGCGGCGCAUUAGCUAGUUGGUGAGGUAACGGCUCACCAAGGCGACGAUGCGUAGCCGACCUGAGAGGGUGAUCGGCCACACUGGGACUGAGACACGGCCCAGACUCCUACGGGAGGCAGCAGUAGGGAAUCUUCCACAAUGGACGAAAGUCUGAUGGAGCAACGCCGCGUGAGUGAUGAAGGCCUUCGGGUCGUAAAGCUCUGUUGUUAGGGAAGAACAAGUGCGAGAGUAACUGCUCGCACCUUGACGGUACCUAACCAGAAAGCCACGGCUAACUACGUGCCAGCAGCCGCGGUAAU